CGGUNCAAGUUCUUUGGAACAGGACGUCACAGAGGGUGAGAAUCCCGUACGUGGUCGCUAGCCCUCACCGUGUAAAGCCCCUUCGACGAGUCGAGUUGUUUGGGAAUGCAGCUCUAAAUGGGAGGUAAAUUUCUUCUAAAGCUAAAUACUGGCCAGAGACCGAUAGCGCACAAGUAGAGUGAUCGAAAGAUGAAAAGCACUUUGNAAAGAGAGUCAAAUAGCACGUGAAAUUGUUGAAAGGGAAGCGCUUNNNGNCAGACUUGCCUGUAGUUGCUUAUCCGGACUUUUGUCCNNNGCACUCUUCUGCGG
This 309-nucleotide ribosomal RNA is filed under the name soil fungal sp. DM048. RNAcentral describes it as "partial 28S rRNA". It matches the Rfam family "Eukaryotic large subunit ribosomal RNA", at positions 177 to 492 of the family's 3401-position model. The record is from RNAcentral. Lineage: Eukaryota; Fungi.